This 17-nucleotide unclassified non-coding RNA is filed under the name Mus musculus (house mouse). RNAcentral describes it as "oocyte_clustered_small_RNA1103". The record is from RNAcentral. Lineage: Eukaryota; Metazoa; Chordata; Mammalia; Rodentia; Muridae.
CAUUCCAGGGCUUCCAU